UGGGGAAUAUUGCACAAUGGAGGGAACUCUGAUGCAGCGACGCCGCGUGAGUGAUGAAGGAAUUCGUUUCGUAAAACUCUGUUCUAUGGGAAGAAAAGGACUGUACCAUAGGAGAAAGCUCCGGCUAAAUACGUGCCAGCAGCCGCGGUAAUACGUAUGGAGCGAGCGUUGUCCGGAAUUAUUGGGCGUAAAGGGUGCGCAGGCGGCUUUACAAGUUGGAUGUGAAAUAUUGUGGCUCAACCACAAACGUGCAUCCAAAACUGCAAAGCUUGAGUUAAGGAGGGGUAAGUGGAAUUCCUGGUGUAGCGGUAGAAUGCGUAGAUAUCAGGAGGAAUACCGGUGGCGAAGGCGACUUACUGGACUUAAACUGACGCUCAGGCACGAAAGCGUGGGGAGCAAACAGG
Molecule: ribosomal RNA, 404 nt
Filed under: Fusobacteriota bacterium
Lineage: Bacteria; Fusobacteriati; Fusobacteriota
Description: Fusobacteria bacterium partial 16S ribosomal RNA
Rfam family: Bacterial small subunit ribosomal RNA
Source: RNAcentral